AAGUCGUAACAAGGUUUCCGUAGGUGAACCUGCGGAAGGAUCAUUAAUGAAUGCAAGGAUGCUCUCUUUAGAGGUCCGAUCUUUCAUUUUCCUUACACUGUGAACCAAAUUUUUACACCAUUUUUAAACACAUAAGUCUAAGAAUGUCACAAGUCUCUUGAUUGAGCAUAAAAUUAUAAAAACUUUCGGCAACGGAUCUCUUGGCUCCCGCAUCGAUGAAGAACGCAGCGAAAUGCGAUACGUAAUGUGAAUUGCAGAAUUCAGUGAAUCAUCGAAUCUUUGAACGCACCUUGCACUCUUUGGUAUUCCGAAGAGUAUGUCUGUUUGAGUGUCGUGAAAUUCUCAACCCCCCUAUUUUGUAAUGAAAUAGGUUUUGUGGGCUUGGAUUAUGGCUGCCUGUCGGCUCGUUGCGAGUCGGCUCAGCUGAAAUACACGAGCAACCCAGUUGAAACAGCGACGGCUUGACUCGGCGUAAUAACAUAUUUCGCUGAGGACGUCCACUGUACGUUUCAAGCAGUGGGGGCUUCUAAUGCAUAUUCAUUUUAAACUUUAGACCUCAAAUCAGAUAGGACUACCCGCUGAACUUAAGCAUAUCAAUAAGCGGAGGAAAAGAAACUAACAAGGAUUCCCCUAGUAACGGCGAGUGAAGUGGGAAAAGCUCAACUUUGAAAUCUGGCAGCUUCGCUGUCCGAGUUGUAGUCUCGAGAAGCGUUUUCCGCGCCGAAGCAUGUAUGAGUCUGUUGGAAUACAGCGUCAUAGAGGGUGAGAACCCCGUUCAUGACAUGCCUUUCGGUGCUUUGUGAUACGCUUUCGAUGAGUCGAGUUGUUUGGGAAUGCAGCUCUAAAUGGGUGGUAAAUUCCAUCUAAAGCUAAAUAUUGGCGGGAGACCGAUAGCAAACAAGUACCGUGAGGGAAAGAUGAAAAGCACUUUGGAAAGAGAGUUAAAAGUACGUGAAAUUGUCGAAAGGGAAACGCUUGAAGUCGGACGUGCAGGGCAACUUGCAGGCCAACAUCGGUUUCACCAGCCGGAUAAAGGUGGAGGGAAGGUAGCAGCUCCGGCUGUGUUAUAGCCCUCUACUGAAUACGGAUGGAGAGACCGAGGACCGCAGCUUAUGCUUAGGAUGUUGGUGGAACGGCUUUAAACGACC
Molecule: ribosomal RNA, 1148 nt
Filed under: uncultured fungus
Lineage: Eukaryota; Fungi
Description: eukaryotic LSU rRNA
Rfam family: Eukaryotic large subunit ribosomal RNA (bases 552-1148)
Source: RNAcentral